This 382-nucleotide long non-coding RNA is filed under the name Homo sapiens (human). RNAcentral's name for it is "HSALNT0237169". The record is from RNAcentral. Lineage: Eukaryota; Metazoa; Chordata; Mammalia; Primates; Hominidae.
UAGCCAGGGUGAACUUAAAAAUUGUCACUGGGUCUGGAUGUUGGGGAUCAGCAAACGUGGGUCACUUAUGGGUGAGGCCCUCUAAGAGAGUGGUGUGGGGUGAAGCCCUCCCUGGCCUCCACAUUAUUUGUGUUAGCCCCUUGUAGAGACCCAAAAAAUGGGGCCAGAGAUGGGCGUACAAUUACAGCAAGAUCGUAGUGAAAGAAAAACCGAGGAGCACAUCCUGCUACUCUGAUUUAGUUUUCCCAAGACCAGGCAAAGCCAAGAACGCCUAUGCUUGUAAUUCCAGAAGCUGACACUAGGGGGUGCCCGAUUCAUGGCAUGGAUGGCAAAGAUCUCAUUUGACGACAAUUUCCUGUUCCCUUUGGUUAAAAUAGUUUGG